GUUAAUUUGUAAUAUUUAUAAAUUUUUGUGUGUGUAUACAUAUAUAUAUAUAGAGUAGGUCUUGUGUACUAUUAAGAGUAUAGACGCCUCCAUACUCCUAAAGCCGUUUUUUAUGAUGGAGCUUCCGAAUCGACGAUCUACUCUGUUAGACUUGAUCUAGCGUAUUUGAAGUAUUAAGAAAUAAAUUUUGCAAUUUUUCGAUAUCAUUUACUUAGCGAUCGGAAGGGUUCAAAAUCAAUAAUUUUUAAUUAUUGAUAUAUAUCGUUUGCAAGUUCAACGGUGUAAAAAUAUUCAAAUCAUAUAAAAUUUUAAUAGAAAUUCUUGAUACUAUUUACUGCAAAAUAAAUAUCUUUGAUUGAAAAUUUUAGUGCUAUAUCAGCACUUUUUGUGAGAUUUUUAUUUUCAGCCAUUUAUUUUGAACCCUUUUGAUUGCUAAGUAAAUGAUAUCAAAAAAUCGUAAAAUUUAUUUUCUAAAUACUUCAAAUAUGCUAGAUAAAGUCUAAUGGAGCCGAUUAUCGAUUCGAAAGCUCUAUCAUCGAAAACGGCUUAGACAUACGGAGGCCUCCGUGCUCCUAAUAGCACACAAGACCUACUUAUAUAUAUAUAUA
Molecule: long non-coding RNA, 608 nt
Filed under: Ananas comosus (pineapple)
Lineage: Eukaryota; Viridiplantae; Streptophyta; Magnoliopsida; Poales; Bromeliaceae
Description: long non-coding RNA (ACOM_LNC022003)
Source: RNAcentral